AUUUCUUUUAUUUUCUUUCUAGUGUUUUGAUUACUGAUGUUUGCUUUCGGUCUUUUUUGGCAAUCGCAUUAUCAGUGUGUGCUCGACUUAUGAGUAGAUAUUCCUUUGGUAUCUUUCGCCAUUCUUUGUAAAGUUUCAUUUUGAUGAAUUGAUACGAUCAUCUUUAACAGUCUACAACUACACGAGAUAAUUAUAUUCUCCCCUGUUUUUAUGUUACAAUAGAACAUUAAACAAAAAGUCUACUAAACGUUACUAGAGUCCACAAUAUUACAUCUUUGAGGUUC
Molecule: long non-coding RNA, 284 nt
Filed under: Mytilus galloprovincialis (Mediterranean mussel)
Lineage: Eukaryota; Metazoa; Mollusca; Bivalvia; Mytilida; Mytilidae
Source: RNAcentral